Molecule: transfer RNA, 25 nt
Filed under: Rhagoletis alternata
Lineage: Eukaryota; Metazoa; Arthropoda; Insecta; Diptera; Tephritidae
Description: partial tRNA-Leu
Source: RNAcentral
UAUGGCAGAUUAGUGGCAAUGGAAA